GGGUCAAUGUUCUUAACUCGGAGAUAAAAACUGGUGAUGAUUGUGUUUCAAUUGGGGAUGGUUCCAAAAAUUUGGUUAUCAAUGGAGUAACCUGUGGACCAGGACAUGGUAUCAGUAUUGGCAGUCUCGGAUUGUUUAAAAAUGAAGAACCCGUUGAUAGAGUUACAGUAAAAAACUGCUCCUUCACUAACACUUUCAAUGGUGUUAGAAUCAAAACUUGGCCAGGUGCUGAACGCGGUACCUGUUCUAACAUUCACUUUGAGGAUAUUACCGUCACCAAUGUCAGUUCUCCUAUUAUAAUUGAUCAGAAAUAUUGCCCGUGGAACAAAUGCAAAAUCAAUGUAUGUAUAUAUUUAUCAAAAUCGUAAGAGAGCAAAAAGAGUUAAUCGGUCAUUGAAUCAUUAUUUUGUUGAUGCAGGAAGAAUCAAAAGUUAAACUAAGCAACAUUAGUUUCAAAAACAUUCACGGCACUUCUGCACUUCCAGAAGCCGUGAAGAUUAUUUGCAGCGCUACUUUGCCGUGUGAAAAUGUGGAACUUGCCGACAUUGAAAUUACGCACAGUGGACCGACUGGACCUGCAGUAUCACAAUGUUCGAAUGUGAAGCCUAAAGUUAGUGGCAAACAAAAUCCAGCUCCAUGUUCCGCCCCUCUCCCAGCAAAACCUACCCCGACCGCUUAAUCAAAAGCAUAGGUAUAAAUUUUUUUGAUGAGGUUGUAACUCUUAUAAUUAUAUUGAUUUUGCAAUUCAAUUUUGUUUUGUUUUACAUUCUAUGGUAUUAAGAAUAUUUUUCUUAAAUUUUAAAAAUAGACUCCAACAAAAAAUAUUGCAAUGUGAUAACAUUUUAUGCAUUUAGGCUUACGAUAUAACUAUUUUUGAAAUACUAUUCAACCAGACACUAUUUAAUUAUUAUUAUUUAUUUAUAUAAAUUUGUUGUGUUUUUAUUUAUAAGUUAGCAUAAUAAAAAUUUUAAUAACCAAUAUUUAUACAUUGUAUCAAUUGACAAUCUAAAAUUUUAAUAUAAUAAUUUUAUCAUUUCUCACUCUUUUAAAUUUAACCUUGAAUGUCACAAAUAAAAGCAAAACUGUAAAAAAAUACAAAAUUGCACUAUAUAAAUGUUAGGGAGUUGAAUUUUUUAGAAUCAAGAUUAAACUGACAUAAUGUAUAAACGAUGAGAGCUAAAAUUACUAUUAUGUCAAUAUUAAAAGCUGUCAAAGUUUUAUAAAAUGUUUGGCGAUGCAAUCUAUCAAACUAGUUGAAUAAAAAAUCGAUGGUUUAACAUGUUCAGCCACUUGUUCAAUUAUUGACACUGAAUGUAAUCAUCACUUGAAAAUUUAAAUAAAAUUUUUAAAAUUUAAAUGAUAAUACCCUAAAUUCGAAGACAAAAAGGAAUUUAAUUGUCAAAUUCAAGUGACGAAGUGGACAAAAAAAUAAACCUAAUAGCCAAAUUUUUAAAUGAUACCACGAUUCUCCAAGCACUUUUUGGAACAAGGUUGCCAGCAGUUAUUGGAGGGUCUUAUGCUUGUUUUAUCCCAAUAGCCCACAUAAAAAACGACCCAUCAUUGCAACGAAUUGGUGACUUCUCCUUCGGCUUACGUACUAAGCCCAUGGAAACGCCCAUGGAGGCCUCUACCGUCCAACCCCCAGUUUCGUGGGCUCAGUUUUCUGCAUGAGCGAUCGCACGCUCAUGUGGCCUCGAUUGUCGUGCUUCGGCUUUUUAGCUUUUGUCGAUUUGCGGUAGCGGUCAUGUGGAUACACACUUAAUUGUGAAGACGCGUAAACUCCAGGGAUGCCAAACCUAUAUUUGGCAAUCAAACUUCGAUAAUCGAUUACACAGUUAUACAAUUAUUUAAACUUCAGUUCUUAUGAUCGCUCACUUACCCACCUUCAAUUGAGCAAAGAAAAACGUUUCGCUUACUCAGGUAUUCGCCAACCCUCGUCACUUCACAAGAUUCUUAGGCACCAACUAUAAUUGGUAAGUACUUAAGUUGAUUUGUUAAGGGGGAAUCACUAAAUUUGCUAUACUUACCCAACGAACGAGAGUACGACGACGAGUUGUAGCCGGACGAUUGGCCCCAAAAAGGAAGGGGAAUUUGGCGAUCAGAGGAAAUAAGAGGGGGAGGAGUUGAUUGAGGAGAAACCGAAUAGAUGAGGAGGAAAAAGAAAAAGUAAGGCGGGGGAGGAUAGUUGUGAAAUACGACCACAAAGAGAGAGAAGGGUUCGACCAAAAAGGGAAGAAAGAAUCGGGUUGGGAAGGAAGAAUGAGGGAAGAAAAACAACUAAAUGAAGAGGGGAGGAGGAGAGGAGCUUUAGGCAGCAGAAGAAGAGAAAAGAGAGGAGAGUUUCGGCCAAAACAAAGAAAAAGAGAAGAUGAGCAGAAACGAGUUUGAUUCUUACCGAAAUGUACACUUAACGCAAAAAGAGAGUAACCCGAAGUUGGCGGAAACUUCCACAGUAAAAGAUAAACACUCCCAAUACCGAAAGCUUCUACUACCAAGUGAUUAAUUUGGCACAAGCCUAGCUGAAUUCUUGACUAGCAAUGCCCCAAAUAGGCACAACUCUCCCUCUUAGCCACCUUUCAAUUUUCUCCACAAUUCUCUCCCCUUAUCAUCACUCCAUCGUUUUCACCUCAACUUCCUCCAUGACCAAUUCAAACUUCCUUCGAUAGUAUUUCACUCCAACUCUGCCACUUACACGGCUCAAGCAGCAAAAUAACAAUUCAUUGCGCACCCCAAGACCAGAACCUAAGACCUCAAGAAUACUUCACACGCCACCAACCACUAGACCACAGGCUCAUUUCGUGUCAUAAAACAAACACUAUUAUUUUUAAAACCUAUCUACUAGCGUCCAGGUUCAUUUAAGAGAAAAAAUUAAAAAUUAUGUAAAAGCCAAGACUUGAACCCAAGCUUCUCAAACACCCCCAUACACACCCAAAUAACUUAACCAUUGAAGCAAACAAGAAAUUGCGACAAAACAUGCAAAAAUUAAAACUUGAUUUUUUAGGGCGUUACACUCCAGCAACCCUUUGUAAAACCCUCAACAUCAUCUGGGUCAUCGUGUCGUCACCAUUUUUUUCUCAACAUAGUCCUCCUCUGGUAUUUUGUUUUCUCCCUAGACAAUGGGUAACUCUCUAGGUGCAGCUCUACGUGGCCUACACCUACCACGUCUGCCUUGAAUGUUCAUAGUGAUCUUUCGAAAGUUUGAAAUCUAAAGUAUAUCUAUAGUUUCCAAACAAAAGUUCAAGCAUUAUUUAUCCUCCUAAUUGUUCACAAUCUAAAGUUUACAAAUUAUCUAAAGUUUUAACAGUAAUCUAGAUUUUAAUUUCCUACAGAAAAAUAAAAUUUUCAAAAAUCUUGUGGCAUGGUUUUUCCCAAAAUACCCCCUUUUUGCUGCAUGCAUGCAAACAUAUUUCAAAAUUUCACGGGCCAAGUUUUGAAAACCUAGGCUCUAAUGCCACCAAAUGUAACCUCCCCAACCCGGCCUAAAUGUUGAAUUGAAUUUGAAAGAUUACAUUAGCCACCAAAAUAGCCUAGUAAGCUAUCGAAGUUUUGAAAACAAAUAUUUUUAAACAUAUGUUUAGCUUUAGAACACAACUUAGUUUAUAAUCGAUUUAUUUAUUACUCAAAAUUUUAGUAUUGUUUAGCAUGUGAAUUAUUGAUGUGUGUUUUCUUGUGUUGUGUACAUGUGUAUUCACUGAGCUUUCCCAAGCUCAUCUCUUUACUUUCUUCUCCCUUCACGAUAAGUAGUGCGCGGGAUAUUGAGGACAGUAGCAGUUCAAUGAUCCAUCGCACAAACUUUCUUUCUAUAGUAUGUGUGCCAAGCUUAUAAAACCCCAUGAAGGCAAUGUGGGACAUUUCUAGGCUAGAGCCUUGGAAUGGGACUUAGAUAAUUUUAGACAAUUUAAAAACAAUUUUUUAGAGGGUUGUAAUUGGAUGUUUUUCUCUAUUUGUAAAUUUGGGAUUUUUUUAAUCUAUGUGUUUGCUUGUUUCGCUGAAUUUGCUAUUUGAAUUAUAUGAUACUGCCCAUAUGAACUAACGAGACAUUUUGCAGCUGCCUUAUUCCGCUUAUUAUACGACUUAUAGUUUGAUUUAGAAAAGCAUGCCCCUGGAGUAAAUGCUUGUAUGAAAUAUUUUGUAUAUGUAUGGUGAGUAUGGAUGGCUGGUGUGAUUUGUAGUAGUUUUUCAAAGAGUCACCUCGAUGGCUAAUGUGUCGCUUGAAAUCGGGUCGGACCGCCUCGACCGUGUUUGGGGUGUCAUACAGACAUUUACUCGACAAAUCCAGAUUCGAGCCUAAUUUAACUUUUUUUACCAUAAAAGGUCAUAUUAGUUUAAGAAAUAACUUUUCUCAAUUUAAUCCUUAAAUUUAGAUUUCAUUAAAGUAUACUAAAAUGAUAUUAUUAAUUUCUUCUAUGCCAUCACCUAAUUUUUAAUUAAUAUAUUAAUAUAUUUCUUGUAUUUUUUAGAUUUUAAAAUUUUAGGUGAUGGCGUCGUAGAAUAAAAGUGUUACAUCAUUCGAAUCCAAGUUCCGGACAAAAUUUCCCAAUUUUGUUAAAGACAAAUGUGGACCAAGUUGAAGAAAAUUUAUUUCAUUGAGGAAUAAAUAUUGGUUUAUUCCAUCUUAGUAACCUUAAUGAAAAUAUUGUUGCUUUGUUGGUUGCAGGUUUCGUUAGAUUAUCGUGUCUACAAUUUAGAAACAUGAAUUGCAUGAGAAACCUUAUCAUAACAGGAUUAUCACUCUUCUUAGGGAUUUCCAUCCCUCAAUUCUUCAACCAAUAUUGGAUCUUAUCCCAUCAUGGCCUCGCUCACAACAAUGCAUCCUGAGUAAGUGUUUUUAUUAAAAAAAACUCCAAUCCCGUUAUCUUCAAUGAUAAAAGAGGGUAAAAUAAAGUGAAUGAUAUUUGCAGUUCAAUGCAUUCGUGAACACCGUGUUCUCAUCACCGAUAAUGGUGGGAUUUACGGUGGCGGUGAUCUUAGACAACACGAUAGAAGUGGAGAAAUCGAACAAAGAUAGAGGGAUGCCAUGGUGGGUUAAGUUUAGAUCAUUUAGAGGAGAUAAUAGGAUUGAAUAAUUUUAUACUUUGCCUUUUAAUCUUAAUAGGUUUAUUCCACCAACCUAAAUUUCCCAAAAUUAGGCUUGGUAAUUGCAUAUAUUUUACUAGUUUUUCCAUUGAUAACUAUGGGUAGUAGUAGACGAAAAUUUGUGUAAUUUUUCAAAAUAAAUUAUUUACUAAUUUAUAUUAUUUAAAUUAUUUUUAUUAAUAUUUUUGUAUUAGUGGAAAGAGCUAUUAAAGUAAGGCCUUAACCUUUCGGCUGGCAGUGUGGUUGUUGACAAUUAUAUGGCUAAAAAUCAACCCUCUCUUCCCGCUACAUCUUCCUUCUCAUUGAAUUUUAUAUUAGCCGACAUAGUACCGACCUGUGGACGCCAAUGAGGCGCGAAUGAGCAUCCUCUUUUCUGAAAUAAUAAUGCAUUGCUUGGCUCUUCUGCUAAUGGUUCAAUUUCCCAUUUUUUGGAGCUUCCGGGCAUCUUUAGUUUGCCUAUUUUUGCUAAAGCUUUUCACAUUUACUGGGUGCUUGAAGUGUGUCCAUUGUAACAGCAGUGAGGGCAUGACAAAACUUUACACAUCAAGGUCUAACCUUCUCAGCCCUAAUGGCUAAACACCAACAUAUGAUAGAGUUUUCAACUCGAUGCAAAGAGACUAUGAUUUUUUUUGUAAUUCAUUUUUUAUUUACAUCUUAUUGUGUACAUUUAUCCGAGAUUUGAUCCUCACUUGUAAUUUUUUUGUUGAAUGGAUAUUUUUUUUCAAAACCUUACCAUUGAAUUGAAAUAAAAUAAAAGCAUACUAGCAUAUUACGUUUAUUCUUUAAAAAAUGAAGAACAAAGAUAUUUAGUAGCAUUAUAACUACAAUUGUAGACCAUUGCUGGUACAUGAAAUAAUUAUAUGAAAUUGCUAUGAGACUUUGAAUUCAAGUAAUCUACCCAACAGAGUUGGUGCCCCUUGGCUUGUGACACCAACUCAGUCAAGGCAGGCUCUGUUUCAUUCAUUGAAAAUGGUUUCAGAAAAAUAUUUUCUACAUUUUGCUAUGUUUGUUUCAUUGAAAACAGUUUGGUUAAUGGACAAUAACUUAUAAGUCAACGAAAAAUAAGCCCUCUUUUCCUCUAGAGUAACUUACCCUUUACGAGUGAUUUUAUUUUUAUAUAAAGAUUAACUUAAGUCAAGCUUAAUAUUAUUAUAUUAUUAAUAAAUUUUUAUUUUUAAAAUUAAUAAAAUAUUAUAAUUUUCAAUAUUAUUAAACAUACAUAUUUAGUUAUCUAUUUCUAACCAUGUAAUAAAUUAUUCAUAUAAUAUAGAAAAUAAAUUAAUAAUGGAUAAUUUUAUUCAUCGUUUUUUUAUACAAAGCCUAGAACUACUCAUUACUCCUCCCCAACCCUUAAUGUAGAAGAGCAUUAAUGCCCUUCAACAUGCUCGAACCCACGGUCUCCUGCAUGUGCAACAAUGUCGAUGCCAAUCGAGCUAAGUCGACAAUUUUAUUCGUCAUUUUCAUUUCUAUAUAGAAACCUUAAAUAGAUAUCUUAAGUCACGUGUUAGUUAAUAAUUUUUACUAUAUCAAGUUUGUUGGAAAAUGAACGAGCAAAUUCCCUUCAAAAAAGGAAAAGAAGUGCUAAUUAUAGUAAGUAAAACUUGGUCAUAUUAUUUACCCACGCUAGUUAAAAUAGAAAUUGUUUAUUUGGUUGUAAUUCGGCCUUACUAUCUCUAUAUAAGAUGGUUUGAAACAAAACAAAAGACAAAAAUUAUUCUCUCUUUGAAGUAAAUAAAAAUAAAGUAUGGCUAUCCAAUUUAAUUGUGUUUCAUCCAUGUUAAUACUAGUACUUUUAUCCAUAUCAUCCGUUGAAGGUCAAGGAGGAGGAGGUGGUGGUGUUAUUGAUGUUGUUGCAAAGUUUGGUGCAAAGGCAGACGAGAAAACAGAUUUGAGUAAGGUAAGCAAAAUAUCAUAUAAUUUUAUAGUCAGCAGAUAAAAGUAUGCAUAACUAUUUUUCAAAUCUCUUUUCUUUAUAUGUAUCCUUUUUUAUUUUNNNNNNNNNNNNNNNNNNNNNNNNNNNNNNNNNNNNNNNNNNNNNNNNNNNNNNNNNNNNNNNNNNNNNNNNNNNNNNNNNNNNNNNNNNNNNNNNNNNNNNNNNNNNNNNNNNNNNNNNNNNNNNNNNNCUAUUGAGCUUCAAGUUGAAGGCACUGUGAAGGCUCCGGCAAACCCUGGUGCUUUCAAGGAGCCUAAAUGGAUUACCUUCAAUAGAAUUGAAAAUUUCAAAUUGUCUGGCGGAGGACUUUUCGAUGGCCAGGGAACCACUGCUUAUAAAAGGGAAGGCUGCAAAAACCAUGAUUAUUGUGGUUCACUUCCUAUUGUAAGUUAUUUUCUUAUCGAUAAGUUAUGACUUUUGUUUUUAUAAAUAGAAUUAAGUAAUAAUUAUUUUUUGUUUCAUUCUGGAAUUAAACAGAACCUAAGGUUUGAUUUUUUAACCAACGCAAUGAUACAAGAUAUAACUACCAAAGACAGCAAGCAGUUCCACGUUAAUGUUCUAGGAUGCAAAAACAUUACUUUCGAACAUUUCACCAUAUCUGCACCUGAUGAAAGCCCAAACACAGAUGGGAUUCACAUCGGGAGAUCAGAUGGGGUCAAUGUUCUUAACUCGGAGAUAAAAACUGGUGAUGAUUGUGUUUCAAUUGGGGAUGGUUCCAAAAAUUUGGUUAUCAAUGGAGUAACCUGUGGACCAGGACAUGGUAUCAGUAUUGGCAGUCUCGGAUUGUUUAAAAAUGAAGAACCCGUUGAUGGAGUUACAGUAAAAAACUGCUCCUUCACUAACACUUCCAAUGGUGUUAGAAUCAAAACUUGGCCAGGUGCUGA
RNAcentral lists this long non-coding RNA (7893 nucleotides) under Gossypium raimondii (Peruvian cotton). Its description in RNAcentral is "long non-coding RNA (GRAI_LNC000923)". Lineage: Eukaryota; Viridiplantae; Streptophyta; Magnoliopsida; Malvales; Malvaceae. The record is from RNAcentral.